UUAACUGGGCCGUUGGGAAUGCACGUGCGCACACAUGAGCAGGGUCCAUCCCUAUCCCCACCUGAUCCAGUCGCACCCCCACUCAGCCGUCUCUUGCACCAAUCCGAGUACUCUUUGGACCUGCGGCGGCUGCUUGAAUCCCCGGCGUAGCAGUGAUGGAAGCCGGCCUUGAAUUCUUGCAGGAUACCGUCGACCGAUUUCUCGUCCAGGAGGUUUGUCGACAGCCUUGAACACCCAGAUCCAGUACCUCUUGCAUUGUUAACGCCUGACGAAGCGAAUCCAGCCGGCCAGGAAGCCCGGAAUGUUGCAUCUGGAUGCGGCAGCAAGUUGACGGUGGUGGCGCUGGUAGGCCGAGCUGCGGCGACCGACGGUAGCAGGAGAUAUCACCCACUGCGUCCGCGCAAUCUAUUGACAGGGUAACCCAGAAACACCUGGAUGGACGAAGAGGAUAAUUGUUUUGUGUUGUUUACCGCUGUACGUUCAUUGACAUGCUCAGCCUGGGGCUAUAUUAAUUUGUUUUUGGUCUCACUUGAAUUAAUGAUGAAGCUAACUGAAAGCUUAGGCCUGUUACAUAUGCAUAUUGUUAUAUGAUGAUUAGGUGGCACAGCAUUUUAAAAUUUGUCUGAUGUACAUGUGAAAAGUUUCAGAUGUAGUAACGGUUAGCUUUAAAAAUUCAGGUUGGAUUAGUUUAUGUGCUCAAGAGAAACUAAUAAUUUUCUUGUGGAGGAGGCAUCAGGCAUUACAAAUCAUUGAACAUUAAGUUGUUUUCUUUUUUAGUUCUACCUCCUAGCUAUGUAGAAAAGAUAUCAUGUAUUGCUGCAAUUGAAAUCUUGAACUAAUUGCUAAGUUGACCAAAUAUGCAUUGGUACUAAAUAUGCACAUAGAUGUUCAGUAGCAUUUCUGACUAAAAUUGGAUUUUGGUUCUCACCAAAUCACUAGUUUUUGCUUUGAAAUGAUCAUUCACAUGGCAGGCCCAAAAGGUACUCCCUCCGUAAACUAAUAUAAGAGCGUUUACAUCACUACUUUAGUGAUCUAAACGCUCUUAUAUUAGUUUACAGAGGGAGUACUUGGUAAGCUCAAAAAUUACAAGUCUCCAGGAGAAGCCCUCGGAUUUAGGUGUUAAGCCGAAGAACCACAAGGUCAGGCCAGGUUGACUGAGUUAGGUUGAAUAUUCAGUAUGUGCACACCUCUGCAUAUCAUAUUAGGUUGAAUAUUCACCACAUCACUAUCAUGUUCUGGUUUGUACUUUCCAGCUACCAUACCUGUGCAUAUCAUUGAUUUUUUCAUAUUGUUACUUGGUGAUGCUCAAAUUUAUUAUAUGUGCAAUUUUCAAAUCUAAA
Molecule: long non-coding RNA, 1340 nt
Organism: Aegilops tauschii subsp. strangulata
Lineage: Eukaryota; Viridiplantae; Streptophyta; Magnoliopsida; Poales; Poaceae
Source: RefSeq, a predicted model, not a curated record